ACGACCCCAUAUGGUUUCGCUUUCGCGUCUCUCUAAAAUUGCAGUCAUGAUAAAAUCUUGGUUUAUUUAAUCAUCAGGGACUCCCAAGCACACUAGUUUUCUACAAAUAAAAAUAGAAAAUGGAAGGCUUGUUAUUCAACAGUAUAACAUGACUUAUAUACUCGUGUCAAACAAGGUGUAUGUAGAUCUAUUCAAAUUUUUAAUGAAGUUGAUUGGAAAAAUACGGGCUUCUCUAUAGAGAAUUAGAAUUUCGAUAUGCUAGUGAU
RNAcentral lists this long non-coding RNA (266 nucleotides) under Nicotiana benthamiana. RNAcentral describes it as "long non-coding RNA (NBEN_LNC025965)". The record is from RNAcentral. Lineage: Eukaryota; Viridiplantae; Streptophyta; Magnoliopsida; Solanales; Solanaceae.